This 943-nucleotide ribosomal RNA is filed under the name uncultured archaeon. Its description in RNAcentral is "bacterial SSU rRNA". It matches the Rfam family "Archaeal small subunit ribosomal RNA", at positions 42 to 854 of the family's 1478-position model. The record is from RNAcentral.
GACUAAGCCAUGUUAGUUUCGGGUGCUUGCAUCCGGAGCGUACAGCUCAGUAACACGUAGUCAACCUGCCCUCAAGUCUGGAAUAAUCCUGGGAAACUGGGGCUAAUACCGGAUAGGUGAAAAAUACUGGAAUGUUUUUUCAUCCAAAGAUACGCUUGAGGAUGGGACUGCGGUCGAUUAGGUUGUUGCCGGGGUAACUUCCCGACAUGCCGAUAAUCGAUACGGGCCUUGAGAGAGGAAGCCCGGAGAUGGAUUCUGAGACAAGAAUCCAGGUCCUACGGGACGCAUCAGGCGCGAAAAUUCCACAAUGCGCGAAAGCGUUAUGGAGAAACCCGAAGUGGGUUCGCUAAGCGAAUUCUUUUGUCAAAUGUAAAAAGUUUGGAGAAUAAGGGGUGGGUAAGACAGGUGCCAGCCGCCGCGGUAAUACCUGCGCCCCGAGUGGUAGUCACGUUUAUUGGGUUUAAAGCGUCCGUAGCCGGUUUGUUUAGUUUUUAAUGAAAUUCCACAGUAAACUGUGAGACUUGUUAGAAAUACUGGCAUGACUUGGGACCGGGAGAGGUUAGGAGUACUGCAGGGGUAAGGGUAAAACACGCUGUUCGCAUUCGCUUACAGGCGAUGCAAACCGAGUUUACAUUCUUAUAAUCCUUGCGGGACUACCAGUGGCGAAGGCGCCUAACUAGAACGGAUCCGACGGUGAGGGGCGAAAGCUAGGGGAGCAAAGGGGAUUAGAUAGACCUUUUUUACGAGAGGCUUCCGCCUUCUGCAAAAAACGUCUACGAAAAAAGUGCAGAAAGCAACGGAAAAUGUAAAAAUGGUCCUGAAUACCCCCGUAGUCCUAGCUGUAAACGAUGCCCACUAGACAUUGGCAAUCUUACGGGGGUUGUCAGUGCCGUAGCGAAAGCGUUAAGUGGGCCGCCUGGGGAGUACGGUCGCAAGGCUGAAA